UCGAACGCGAAAGUGGAGCAUCCAUGAGUAGAGUGGCAAGCGGGUGAGUAACACGUGGGUGACCUGCCUCAGAGUGGGGGAUAACGUUCCGAAAGGAGCGCUAAUACCGCAUAACAUCCUGCGUUUGGAGACGCAGACAUCAAAGCCGGGGAUCGCAAGACCUGGCGCUCAGAGAGGGGCCCGCGGCCGAUUAGCUAGUUGGUGAGGUAACGGCUCACCAAGGCAACGAUCGGUAUCCGGCCUGAGAGGGCGGACGGACACACUGGGACUGAGACACGGCCCAGACUCCUACGGGAGGCAGCAGUGGGGAAUUGUUCGCAAUGGGCGCAAGCCUGACGACGCAACGCCGCGUGGAGGACGAAGAUCUUCGGGUCGUAAACUCCUUUCGAUCGGGAAGAACGUUUUCCGGGUGAACAAUCCGGAGAAGUGACGGUACCGAGAGAAGAAGCCCCGGCUAACUCCGUGCCAGCAGCCGCGGUAAUACGGGGGGGGCAAGCGUUGUUCGGAAUUACUGGGCGUAAAGGGCCAGUAGGCGGCCAACUAAGUCCGACGUGAAAUCCCCAGGCUUAACCUGGGAACUGCGUCGGAUACUGGAUGGCUUGAAUUCGGGAGAGGGAUGCAGAAUUCCAGGUGUAGCGGUGAAAUGCGUAGAUAUCUGGAGGAAUACCGGUGGCGAAGGCGGCAUCCUGGACCGACAUUGACGCUGAACGGCGAAAGCUAGGGGAGCAAACGGGAUUAGAUACCCCGGUAGUCCUAGCCCUAAACGAUGAAUGCUUGGGUGUGGCGGGUAUCGAUCCCUGCCGUGC
This 806-nucleotide ribosomal RNA is filed under the name uncultured bacterium. RNAcentral describes it as "bacterial SSU rRNA". It matches the Rfam family "Bacterial small subunit ribosomal RNA", at positions 62 to 846 of the family's 1533-position model. The record is from RNAcentral.